UACCAAACAGCUAGCCCCACUAACCAAAAACAACAAACAACUAUUAAUAACCCCGAACACACUACUACCAACCUAAACAAACCAUUUUUCCCCCCGAGUAUGGGAGACAGAAAAGGGUCUGUGGAGCAAUAGAGAAAGUACCGCAAGGGAACGCUGAAAGAGAAAUGAAACAAAUCAGUAAAGUUUAAAAAAGCAGAAAUUAACCCUCGUACCUUUUGCAUCAUGAUUUAGCCAGAAACAUUCAAGCAAAGAGCACUUUAGUUUGCCACCCCGAAACUAAGGGAGCUACUCCAAGACAGCCUAUUAAUAGGGCAAACCCGUCUCUGUGGCAAAAGAGUGGGAAGAGCUUUGAGUAGAGGUGAUAAACCUAUCGAACUUAGUUAUAGCUGGUUGCCUAAAAAAUGAAUAGGAGUUCAGCCUCUAGGUUUCUUCCCUCACCCAUGCCUUAGCUCGUACAGAACAAAAGAAGCCAAGAGAGUUAAUUAAAGGGGGUACAGCCCCUUUAAAUCAAAAUACAACUUUUUCAGGAGGGUAAAGAUUACACUUAUUCCAAGGUAAAAUGUUCUGGUGGGCCUAAAAGCAGCCAUCCAGCAGAAAGCGUUAAAGCUCAGACAUUCCCAAAAACCUUUAAUCCUAAUAAUUUUUUCUCAACCCCCAAACACUAUUAGGCCAUCUCAUGCCCCCAUGAGAGUGAUUAUGCUAAUAUGAGUAAUAAGGGAGUUAAGCCUCCCUCCUUGCACAAGUGUAAAUCGGAACGAACUAACACCGAACAUUACCGGCCCCAAACAAAGAGGGUAUUGAACCACAAACAGACAACCAGAAAAUUAUUCAACACAAUACCGUUAACCCCACACUGGUGUGCAUUCAAGGAAAGACUAAAAGAAAAAGAAGGAACUCGGCAAACACACGCCUCGCCUGUUUACCAAAAACAUCGCCUCUUGUAAUCCAAAAAUAAGAGGUCCUGCCUGCCCAGUGACUUAGUUCAACGGCCGCGGUAUUUUGACCGUGCAAAGGUAGCGCAAUCACUUGUCUUUUAAAUGAAGACCUGUAUGAAUGGCAAGACGAGGGCUUAACUGUCUCCUUUUUCAAGUCAAUGAAAUUGAUCUCCCCGUGCAGAAGCGGGGAUACUACCAUAAGACGAGAAGACCCUAUGGAGCUUUAGACACUAAAGCAGCUCUUGUCAAUACCCUAAGAAUAAUUAGACUAAACUUUGGGAACCCUGCUUCAAUGUCUUUGGUUGGGGCGACCACGGGGAAGUAAGUAACCCCCGCGCGGAAUAAGAGAACAUCUCUCGCAACCAAGAGCUUCUGCUCUAAGUAACAGAAUAUCUGACCAUAACGAUCCGGUAAGACCGAUCAACGGACCGAGUUACCCUAGGGAUAACAGCGCAAUCCUCUUUUAGAGUUCGUAUCGACAAGAGGGUUUACGACCUCGAUGUUGGAUCAGGACAUCCUAAUGGUGCAGCCGCUAUUAAGGGUUCGUUUGUUCAACGAUUAAAGUCCUACGUGAUCUGAGUUCAGACCGGAGUAAUCCAGGUCAGUUUCUAUCUAUGUAAAUGUUCUUUUCUAGUACGAAAGGACCGAAAAGAAGAGGCCCCUGCCCAAAGCACGCCCCAUCCUUAAUUAAUGAAAACAACUAAAUUAAGCAAAAGGACAUAACACCUUGUCCAAGAUAAAGACAA
This 1681-nucleotide ribosomal RNA is filed under the name Anabas testudineus (climbing perch). RNAcentral's name for it is "16S ribosomal RNA". It matches the Rfam family "Bacterial large subunit ribosomal RNA". The record is from RNAcentral. Lineage: Eukaryota; Metazoa; Chordata; Actinopteri; Anabantiformes; Anabantidae.